GUACUGGAAUCAGGGAUUACAGAAGAAAGAAAGGGAAAUGGGUACAUAUCAGGUGGUAUCCAACAAGCAUUGCCUAUCAUUUGUGAAUAUAUCUCAUAGCAUAGGUGUGGACAGUACAAACAGUAGUGCUUAUUGAGGGUAUAAUUGAAGUCAUGUACAUAUAGAUAGACUGGAUGCCUCUACAAGUCAGUGUGGCUUCGGUGAGUCCCUUGACAUUAAGGAGUAAAUAAAGUAAAUGGUUUGCUAAGAGUAGAAGUUGCAGAUAGAUGGAGG
Non-coding RNA from Pelobates cultripes (western spadefoot toad), 273 nucleotides. Lineage: Eukaryota; Metazoa; Chordata; Amphibia; Anura; Pelobatidae. The record is from the annotation of a GenBank genome assembly.